AUGCUAAAAGCAAGAUCAAUUUCUGACUUUUUCUCUGUGCAGAAGAAGCCUCCUGACCUCGGUGGAGGUGCCCGCAGCUGCAGAACCAACUGUGACUUCAUAUUUACAGCUGAAAUUUACACGCAGCUCUGCCCUCCCGACACCCCCAGAUGGCCACGGUCCCUUCAAACGCACAUUGGAGGUGGGUUUUCCACCCUGUGGGCCAUGCUGUUACCUGGACCAUUUGCUGAGUGGUGCUGCACAGAAUCACAGGGCUGGACAGGAGGGCAGCCACUUGGAGUCCUCACCGACCCUCACCUUAACCAGCCCCAUGGUCCCUCGUAUAAAUGAAGGAAGAGCUGCGUAGAGAAGCCAGUGAAAUUCCUCAGUGGCCCCCUAACCCAGCCCCAUGGUCCCUCGUAAAAAUGAAGGAAGAGCUGCGUAGAGAAGCCAGUGAAAUUCCCUCCAAUCCCGUCCUGCCCCGCUGCUAAGCAGCAUCUUCAGCAGAACAAGCAGGCCCUCUGCACAGACCCGGCUGCUCCUGCUCCUCUCUCCUUGGACCAGCCUCUCCGAGAUCGCCCUGACUUCAGGUCAUGUCCAAGGAGGUGACUCUCUCCUCACCAUUUAUCACACAACAAAAACUCUUGAGGAAAAAUAAAUUAAGUCUGGGCCAAAAAAAAAAGCAAUCCUUUCCUCCAAGUUAAUUAAUUUGAGCACCAUUUUCAGGAAAAGCGUUUCUUAAAUCCCUAUCGCUGAAGGCAAUUUUCUUGCCACAAUCACUCAGUGUUCCUGACAGAAGGUGACUGGCAGAAGGAAGGCUUAGGGGAAGGCAGAUUUCUGCAGCCUUGAAGGACCCGCUCCCCGACCCCAAGGAGGCUCCAGUGCCUGAUAAACGUGGGUCUCUCUGAAGGAAAUAGUGACCACAUGGUGUGGGGCGGCGUGCGCACGUGUGUGCACACGUGACUAUGUAUGUGUGUGAUGUGUGCAUAUGUAUGUGCACAUGUAUGUAUGUAUACGUGGUGGAUGAAGGAAGUAUUAAUAGCAGCAUUUUUGUUUCUACAGGGACCCUGGGCAUAGGGCACCCGACCUCCGGUGUGCCCAGCUCCGGUGGACAGAUGGGGCUGCCCUCCAGAAACCCGAGGGGUCACUCGUUUCAGAUUGUUUCCAUUCCUACUUCUGUAUCUCAGCAUCCUUUCAAGCCCAGGUCCAGCAGGGUUGUCUUCAGGGCGUGGAGUUGACCAUUACUGAUGGGAAACUAUGGUAGAGCUUUCUCUGUGCUUGGAAAUGGGGGUAAAAUAUAGGGUCAUGGCCCUGGUUCCCUUAGCCAGGAAGGGUGAUGACAGCUUCCAUUCAUCAAGCAGCCAGGUGCUGGGCUGAGUGCUUUCUGCACUGGCAGGCAUUUCUUCUUCCCAUCUCUCCGACACCUCUGACAAGUUGCUGUUUGCAUCACUGGUUUACAGAGGAGGAAAUUGAGAGUCAGAGGCCACAGGACUCCUGGGUUCACACAACCUAGUAAGCUUGGAGCCCCAGUGGCUGUGACUGUCAGGGCCCAGGAGGCCCGGCCAGGGGGGAACCCACUGCCCUGCCCUGUAGCCCGUUUCUGGGCCCUGGGUUCCCCCCUGGCCGGGCCUCCUGCCACAGAAACCGUGGUAUGAGGACAACCUCAACUGGGAAGAAUGUUAAAACCAGGGCUUCUUCCCCCCUCUAAGUCCUUCCAGGGACUUCCCCAGCUGGAGGAAAGGCCCCACACCCGUUCUGAGGGGUGAGGGUGAUGCCGAGGAGACGUUGUCCUGAGUGAGGCAGAGGGUUGGCCUGAGCUCCUUGCACACACAGGGCCUGGGCAGAGUGGUGGCCUCAGGGUCAGCUUGUCCCCCCACGCCUUUGCUCCUCAUGGCUUGCUGACAUUCUCUGGGAGCCUGUAAUCAUGCAGGAGUAGCCUGAGGUUGAGAUAUUUGUCUCUCAGGGCUUUGAGAGCAUUAAAUGUGAAACUAGUUAAAUGACCUAACUCUGCCGGGCUUAGAGAACUGUUCAGGAAACAGUAACUAUUAUUAUUAAUGAUUUCUUCCUCCAUGUGGCAGGUGGCUAACCUGCGUUCCUUGCUGCAGGAUAGGACUGUGAGCAUCAGGGUGUUAGCGGAUGUGGCUGGGUCCCACCUGUGUUUGAUGCUGCCAUUCCUGUGGCACCUAAACGGCUUCCUGGGACUCCUGUUCCUCACUUGCAAAACAAGCAAGUUCCUAGUACCUGUCUCAUAAGGUAGCGGGAAAGAGAUGAAGGUAGGAGAGGAUCUGCCUAGGGCACUCUGUCUGGUCCUGGCACAGAGGAGGGGCUUAGCUAGUGGUAAAAUGGAGAUGUUGAUCGCACCAUCAUCAUCAGCAUCACCACCAUCACCAUUCACCAUCAUCAUUAUCACCAACACCAUCAUCACCAUCACAAUUACCAUCAUCACUGUCAUCAUCAACCUCACCACCAUCGUCACCAUCAAGACCAUUAUCACCAUCCGCACCAUCACCAUUACCACCACCAUCACCGAAAUCACUGUAAUCAUGAUUAUGUUGGUAACUCAUUAAAUUCCGUAGGAAUUCUCCUGAGCUCCUGUGGAAACUCAGGCUACUGUGCAUUUUCCUUACCUGGAAAUGAGUGUAUCCACACAAUUCAGAGUUCAUUAGAGGAGGCUGUGUCCUGCUAAAUGACGCCCCUGGGAGUUGAGGACAUUUCUAAAAAAGCAUUUUAAGUAAAUCUGUGGAUCUAAAGCAAGGACGGAGAAUGUCUUUUUCCUGGGGCCUCCUUUGUGCUCACUUUGGACCAAGCAUACGCUGCAUCUGAGCUGACAGCUCUUUCUUCUUUCUAAGUCAUGUGGACUGGAAGCACAGCUCUGGGGGUAGUCGUGUAUCCCCUGAGAAAGCAUCCGCUAAGAGGAAUAGAAGACGGGCUCACCUUGGGAUUUUGUCUCUGUCCCCCAGCCCUUGUUUGUCAGACCAGACCAGAUUUAAGGGUUCUCAUGCUUUUAGUCUCUUUUCUCCUCUUGUGUUUAUUUAUUUAUGUUUUAGGCCACUCUCCAGGUC
RNAcentral lists this long non-coding RNA (3041 nucleotides) under Ovis aries (sheep). RNAcentral describes it as "lncRNA (ENSOARG00000026103.1)". The record is from RNAcentral. Lineage: Eukaryota; Metazoa; Chordata; Mammalia; Artiodactyla; Bovidae.